ACGGCAGCACGGGUGCUUGCACCUGGUGGCGAGUGGCGAACGGGUGAGUAAUGUAUCGGAACGUAUCCGGAAGUGGGGGAUAGCCCGGCGAAAGCCGGAUUAAUACCGCAUAUGCCCUGAGGGGGAAAGUGGGGGACCGCAAGGCCUCAUGCUUUCGGAGUGGCCGAUAUCGGAUUAGCUAGUAGGUUAGGUAAAGGCUGACCUAGGCGACGAUCCGUAGCGGGUCUGAGAGGAUGAUCCGCCACACUGGGACUGAGACACGGCCCAGACUCCUACGGGAGGCAGCAGUGGGGAAUUUUGGACAAUGGGGGCAACCCUGAUCCAGCCAUGCCGCGUGAGUGAAGAAGGCCUUCGGGUUGUAAAGCUCUUUCGGACGGAAAGAAAUUGCCAUCUCUAACAUAGGUGGUGGAUGACGGUACCGUAAGAAGAAGCACCGGCUAGCUACGUGCCAGCAGCCGCGGUAAUACGUAGGGUGCGAGCGUUAAUCGGAAUUACUGGGCGUAAAGCGUGCGCAGGCGGUUAUGUAAGACAGGCGUGAAAUCCCCGGGCUUAACCUGGGAACUGCGCUUGUGACUGCAAGGCUAGAGUGCGGCAGAGGGGGGGUAGAAUUCCACGUGUAGCA
Molecule: ribosomal RNA, 622 nt
Filed under: uncultured bacterium
Lineage: Bacteria
Description: bacterial SSU rRNA
Rfam family: Bacterial small subunit ribosomal RNA
Source: RNAcentral